AGCUGGUACAUUUAGUACGAGAACAAACGGUGAAGAUGAAGGCUGUGAUUUUGUCUCUCGUUUUAUUGGCAGCGCUCACCACCAUGACACUAUGUGGACUUCCACCUCGUCUUGGUAGGGGCCUUAAAUCCGCCUGCACUCCUUAUUGCGGCUUGGGAAUGCGGCAUGGCCAGCGGUGUGGACCACUGUGUACCUGUCAAGCGUUCUUUCACGCCCCAGGAGCGUUAGCGUGCGUGGGAAUCUACUCCAGGAGUCCAUAUGGAGUCCGUCCUCGGCCAGUACCAGGACCACAACAUUAACUUGGAGAUACUCUUCCAAGAGGCUUCCUAUGGAGGUAGUUUCUCGCGAUGUAGGCCAUGAGCUUCUUGGAGCGUUUCAUUGGACCCGCUGUCGGGAAGAUUCAAAAAAUUUUAAUCCAACAACACUUGCGAUGCAAGCCCUGCGUACAGCAUAUAUAACGAUAGUAAACGGAAACAUUUAUGCAACUGGUCAAACGAUGUCGUUGUGUUCGUAAACCGCAAAUCCCCUCCCC
Long non-coding RNA from Rhipicephalus microplus (southern cattle tick), 532 nucleotides. RefSeq lists it as uncharacterized. Lineage: Eukaryota; Metazoa; Arthropoda; Arachnida; Ixodida; Ixodidae. The record is from RefSeq and is a predicted model, not a curated record.